CGCUUAUCUUCAUUCGCAUAAACAUUCCCAAAUAUCCAGCGGUUGCUUUCUUCUUCACGCAUCCUGCAGGUGAAAUGUCCUCCUGUGUCCUGCUCACUGCCCUUUUUGCCCUUCCUCUUGCUGUGGGUUGGGUCGUACUGGGUGAAAGAGAAGAAGCACAGGUGUUGUGUGCUGGAAAAGAAUUUCGUCUGCCGGUGUACUCGACAUCCAGAACAGUGGCUUUUACACCACACCCCGAGGGGCCAAGACGCGUCCUG
This is a non-coding RNA of Plectropomus leopardus (leopard coralgrouper), 257 nucleotides long. Lineage: Eukaryota; Metazoa; Chordata; Actinopteri; Perciformes; Serranidae. The record is from RefSeq and is a predicted model, not a curated record.